GAACAUGCGUGUAGGUACUGUGGGGUUUCAAAUCCGGCUUGUGUGGUGAGGUGUAAUGUUCCAUCGUGUAGGAAGUGGUUUUGUAAUUCUAGAGGGAACACUUCGGGUUCGCAUAUUGUCAAUCACCUGGUUCGUGCAAAACAUAAGGAAGUUUGUCUCCAUAAAGACAGUCCUCUGGGGGAAACGAUACUUGAAUGCUACAACUGUGGAUGUCGAAAUGUAUUCCUUCUUGGAUUUAUAUCGGCCAAGAC
Molecule: unclassified non-coding RNA, 251 nt
Filed under: Hevea brasiliensis (rubber tree)
Lineage: Eukaryota; Viridiplantae; Streptophyta; Magnoliopsida; Malpighiales; Euphorbiaceae
Source: RNAcentral